RNAcentral lists this ribosomal RNA (1379 nucleotides) under Escherichia coli. RNAcentral's name for it is "16S ribosomal RNA". It matches the Rfam family "Bacterial small subunit ribosomal RNA", at positions 84 to 1460 of the family's 1533-position model. Lineage: Bacteria; Pseudomonadati; Pseudomonadota; Gammaproteobacteria; Enterobacterales; Enterobacteriaceae. The record is from RNAcentral.
UUCGCUGACGAGUGGCGGACGGGUGAGUAAUGUCUGGGAAACUGCCUGAUGGAGGGGGAUAACUACUGGAAACGGUAGCUAAUACCGCAUAACGUCGCAAGACCAAAGAGGGGGACCUUCGGGCCUCUUGCCAUCGGAUGUGCCCAGAUGGGAUUAGCUUGUUGGUGGGGUAACGGCUCACCAAGGCGACGAUCCCUAGCUGGUCUGAGAGGAUGACCAGCCACACUGGAACUGAGACACGGUCCAGACUCCUACGGGAGGCAGCAGUGGGGAAUAUUGCACAAUGGGCGCAAGCCUGAUGCAGCCAUGCCGCGUGUAUGAAGAAGGCCUUCGGGUUGUAAAGUACUUUCAGCGGGGAGGAAGGGAGUAAAGUUAAUACCUUUGCUCAUUGACGUUACCCGCAAAAGAAGCACCGGCUAACUCCGUGCCAGCAGCCGCGGUAAUACGGAGGGUGCAAGCGUUAAUCGGAAUUACUGGGCGUAAAGCGCACGCAGGCGGUUUGUUAAGUCAGAUGUGAAAUCCCCGGGCUCAACCUGGGAACUGCAUCUGAUACUGGCAAGCUUGAGUCUCGUAGAGGGGGGUAGAAUUCCAGGUGUAGCGGUGAAAUGCGUAGAGAUCUGGAGGAAUACCGGUGGCGAAGGCGGCCCCCUGGACGAAGACUGACGCUCAGGUGCGAAAGCGUGGGGAGCAAACAGGAUUAUAUACCCUGGUAGUCCACGCCGUAAACGAUGUCGACUUGGAGGUUGUGCCCUUGAGGCGUGGCUUCCGGAGCUAACGCGUUAAGUCGACCGCCUGGGGAGUACGGCCGCAAGGUUAAAACUCAAAUGAAUUGACGGGGGCCCGCACAAGCGGUGGAGCAUGUGGUUUAAUUCGAUGCAACGCGAAGAACCUUACCUGGUCUUGACAUCCACGGAAGUUUUCAGAGAUGAGAAGGUGCCUUCGGGAACCGUGAGACAGGUGCUGCAUGGCUGUCGUCAGCUCGUGUUGUGAAAUGUUGGGUUAAGUCCCGCAACGAGCGCAACCCUUAUCCUUUGUUGCCAGCGGUCCGGCCGGGAACUCAAAGGAGACUGCCAGUGAUAAACUGGAGGAAGGUGGGGAUGACGUCAAGUCAUCAUGGCCCUUACGACCAGGGCUACACACGUGCUACAAUGGCGCAUACAAAGAGAAGCGACCUCGCGAGAGCAAGCGGACCUCAUAAAGUGCGUCGUAGUCCGGAUUGGAGUCUGCAACUCGACUCCAUGAAGUCGGAAUCGCUAGUAAUCGUGGAUCAGAAUGCCACGGUGAAUACGUUCCCGGGCCUUGUACACACCGCCCGUCACACCAUGGGAGUGGGUUGCAAAAGAAGUAGGUAGCUUAACCUUCGGGAGGGCGCUUACCAC